This is a transfer RNA of Paramecium tetraurelia, 74 nucleotides long. It matches the Rfam family "tRNA". Rfam says of the family: Transfer RNA (tRNA) molecules are approximately 80 nucleotides in length. Their secondary structure includes four short double-helical elements and three loops (D, anti-codon, and T loops). NCBI's taxonomy places the organism in Eukaryota, Ciliophora, Oligohymenophorea, Peniculida, Parameciidae. The record is from Rfam.
GCCCGGAUAGCUCAGCUUGGUAGAGCGAGAGACUCUUAAUCUCUAGGUCCAGGGAUCGAGACCCUGUUCGGGCG